CAAUAGCGUAUAUUAAAGUUGUUGCAGUUAAAAAGCUCGUAGUUGAAACUUGGGCCUGGCUGGCGGGUCCGCCUCACCGCGUGCACUCGUCCGGCCGGGCCUUCCUUCUGAAGAACCUCAUGCCCUUCACUGGGCGUGCUGGGGAAUCAGGACUUUUACUUUGAAAAAAUUAGAGUGUUCAAAGCAGACCUUUGCUCGAAUACGUUAGCAUGGAAUAAUAAAAUAGGGCGUGCGUUUCUAUUUUGUUGGUUUCUAGAGACGCCGCAAUGAUUAACAGGAACAGUCGGGGGCAUCAGUAUUCAGUUGUCAGAGGUGAAAUUCUUGGAUUUACUGAAGACUAACUACUGCGAAAGCAUUUGCCAUGGAUGUUUUCAUUAA
Molecule: ribosomal RNA, 378 nt
Filed under: uncultured eukaryote
Lineage: Eukaryota
Description: partial 18S ribosomal RNA
Rfam family: Eukaryotic small subunit ribosomal RNA
Source: RNAcentral